RNAcentral lists this small RNA (369 nucleotides) under Stenotrophomonas panacihumi. RNAcentral's name for it is "Proteobacterial sRNA Xoo8". It matches the Rfam family "Proteobacterial sRNA Xoo8". The record is from Rfam by way of RNAcentral. Lineage: Bacteria; Pseudomonadati; Pseudomonadota; Gammaproteobacteria; Lysobacterales; Lysobacteraceae.
GCCAGGCCGACUGACUUCCGCGCAAGCGGAAUGCUUCACCGGCGCCGCGCGCCGCCUUCGCCAUCGCGGGGGUGGAACGCAGCGUCGGCGGCCGGCGGGCUAGUCCUCCCGCAGGCCGGCGCCAUGUCCUUUCCGCCGGGUCGGUGUGCCCCCGACCCAGCGGGUUUUGGCGUCGCAUGGCAGGACGCGGCACCGGGCGUGAACCCGCCCGUGAGACACUUUUGUUAACAUCCGACGCACCCGGACAGCCUGCCAAUUCAGCUCCUGUCUGCGUUUGUCAUUCAGACUUCACCACCAUGACCCAACAGCGCACCCUCAAGAACACGAUCCGCGCCACCGGCGUAGGCCUGCACAGCGGCGACAAGGUCU